AUGAGGGGGAACAGGGUGAGCCAUACGGAAACAGGGUCAAGCACCGCUGCCCCCCAAGCCCCACUCGACAGAGCCAUGAGAGCUUUCCCAAGACAGCUGAGGUGGGGGCAGCAAGAAGAGGAGUUAAUUUCGCRGCUUUUUUUUUUUUCUUGUUCCAGUAAGGGCAGGCCCAAUCCAAUGAAGAGCAAAAACCGUGGCCACUCGCUGCCGGGGGAAGAGGCUGCAGUUCCCCAAGGAGAAGAGGCCUGGCGGGCAGGCGGAGGGGCUCUGCCAGCCCUCAGCCCCCGACUCCCGCGGCGAGAGCGGCACCGAGGGGCGGCUGCGGUCUCUCUCCGCGGCGCGGGCGGGGGGGGUCACAAGGGGUCUCCCAGCCACUGUUCCAGGGGCCGCCUCGCCCCUGGCCCGCCGUUGGGGGGGAGGGGCGGGGGACGACGCUCGCCCCAACCCGCAACCGCCCCUCCCGCCGCCAUUCACACAGGCGCCAACGGCUGCCCCCGGGGAUCGUGCGGGAGGGGAAGAGGGGGGUGUGCGGGAAGGGUGCCGAGGAGCCCCGCUGUCUUACUCUGGCUUCUCCGCGGUCCCGCCGGUGGAGGCCGCCCGCCCGAGCCCGGCAACGGCCGCCGCCGCCCGUACGUGGCAGAGCAGCGAAGGGGCUGGAGCAACGGCUGCAACUGGCGGGCCUGCGCGAGCCGCCCGCAUGCGCACUCGAGGCCCCAGCCCGGCCGGCGCCGUAGGGCGCAUGCGCCGACCAGGGCAGCGGGGGCGGGAAGCCGCUUCCCUCCCCGCGCCGACGCGUCGUGGGGCGGGGGCGCGCGCGCAACCGCACGCGCGGCGGGGCGGGGCUUUGGCGCCGCCGGGGACUGCGUGGCCGCCCGGGCGGCGGUCGUCGGGGCUGUGAGGGCAGGGGCGGCGCCGUGGCGGUGGGGAUGCAGCCCGGCAGCCUACUCAGACACUUGCCCCGGCCCCUUGGGGUUGCUGCCUCACUCUUUUCUCCCAGCUAAAAAGGUUUUUGUUUGUUUGUUUGUUUUUAGCCAGUAUUUACCAAAUGGACAGGUCUUGGGGCAAAACCUUUCAAAGUGUUGUCACUAA
RNAcentral lists this long non-coding RNA (1089 nucleotides) under Apteryx haastii (Great spotted kiwi). RNAcentral's name for it is "lncRNA (ENSAHAG00000015402.1)". The record is from RNAcentral. Lineage: Eukaryota; Metazoa; Chordata; Aves; Apterygiformes; Apterygidae.